AGCGCAGGUGGUUGUAUAAGUCUGAAGUAAAAGGCAGUGGCUCAACCAUUGUGUGCUUUGGAAACUGUACAACUUGAGUGCAGAAGGGGAGAGUGGAAUUCCAUGUGUAGCGGUGAAAUGCGUAGAUAUAUGGAGGAACACCGGUGGCGAAAGCGGCUCUCUGGUCUGUAACUGACACUGAGGCUCGAAAGGCUGGGGAGCAAACA
This 206-nucleotide ribosomal RNA is filed under the name uncultured bacterium. Its description in RNAcentral is "partial 16S ribosomal RNA". It matches the Rfam family "Bacterial small subunit ribosomal RNA", at positions 568 to 774 of the family's 1533-position model. The record is from RNAcentral.